Non-coding RNA from Mycena vitilis, 101 nucleotides. Lineage: Eukaryota; Fungi; Basidiomycota; Agaricomycetes; Agaricales; Mycenaceae. The record is from the annotation of a GenBank genome assembly.
CCAGACAUGGUGUAGAUUGGUAAGACCGCUUCGGCUUCGUAUCAAUGAAGUAUAUCGUGGUCUUGACGAAGCAGUGUGGGGUUCGAAUCCCCGUGUCUGGA